Molecule: ribosomal RNA, 756 nt
Filed under: uncultured archaeon
Lineage: Archaea
Description: bacterial SSU rRNA
Rfam family: Archaeal small subunit ribosomal RNA
Source: RNAcentral
CCUUAGAUCGGAGAAUCUCGGGAACUGAGAAUAAUAUCUGAUAGGAAAUGUUCUCUGGAAUGAAACUUUUCUGAAAUUCGAGUCUAAGGGUGAGACUGCGGCUGAUUAGCUAGUUGUUGGUGUAACGGACUAACAAGGCGAUGAUCAGUAAGGGCUCUUAGCGGAGAAGCCCUGAGAAGGAAUCUGAGACACUAUUCCUAGCUCUACGGGGUGCAGCAGGCGAGGAAAUUUUCCAAUGCUCGUAAGAGUGAGAAAAUUAGCCAGAGUGUUUUCUUUAAGAAAACUUUUGUUUGCUGUAAAAAGGCAGACGAAUAAGGACUGGGUAAGACCGGUGCCAGCCGCCGCGGUAAUCCCGGCGGUCCAAGUCGCAUCCACAAUUAUUGGGUCUAAAACAUCCGUAGCUUGUUUUGUAAGUCUCUUGUGAAAUCUCAAAUCUCAAGUUUGAGACGUGCAAGAAAUACUGCUAAACUAGAGACCGGAAGACGCAAAGAGUAUGUUUGAGGUAGUGGUAAAAUAUGUUAAUCUCGAACAGACUAACAAUGGCGAAGGCACUUUGCGAGUACGGAUCUGACAGUGAGGGAUGAAGGCUAGGGGCGCGAAAGGGAUUAGAUACCCCUGUAGUCCUAGCAGUAAACGCUGCUCACUAAACAUUAGCACCUCCUCGAGAGGUGUUAGUGCUGUAGGGAAGCCGAAGAGUGAGCUACCUGGGAAGUAUAGUCGCAAGACCGAAACUUAAAGGAAUUGGCGGGGGAGCAC